RNAcentral lists this transfer RNA (66 nucleotides) under Salmonella enterica subsp. enterica serovar Agona str. SA-1. RNAcentral describes it as "tRNA-Thr". It matches the Rfam family "tRNA". Rfam says of the family: Transfer RNA (tRNA) molecules are approximately 80 nucleotides in length. The record is from RNAcentral. Lineage: Bacteria; Pseudomonadati; Pseudomonadota; Gammaproteobacteria; Enterobacterales; Enterobacteriaceae. RNAcentral also lists the same sequence under 1 other name.
GAUAUGGCUCAGUUGGUAGAGCGCACCCUUGGUAAGGGUGAGGUCCCCAGUUCGACUCUGGGUAUC